This is a long non-coding RNA of Poecilia latipinna (sailfin molly), 1680 nucleotides long. RefSeq lists it as uncharacterized. NCBI's taxonomy places the organism in Eukaryota, Metazoa, Chordata, Actinopteri, Cyprinodontiformes, Poeciliidae. The record is from RefSeq and is a predicted model, not a curated record. The transcript is spliced from 3 exons.
ACUGUAUGUUGCUGUCUGACCUCUUAUCUUCUCAUUUUUCUCCCUCUCUCUCCAUUUCUCUUCCUCCCUCCUCCUCUGGCAGGGAUCACAUAUACACAGUGGACACGGAGACUGCCAACGGUGACGAGAUCUUUUUCAGUAAGAAAAUGACCUGGAAGUCCAGACAGGCAGACGUGGACACUUGCCGAAUGAAAGGAAAGCAUAAGGAUGAGUGUCACAAUUUCAUCAAAGUCCUCCUGCAGCAAAACGGUGACACCCUGUUUGUUUGUGGAACAAACGCCUUCAAUCCGUCCUGUCGAACCUACAAGGUAGGGAAGCACGCGACGCUUCGUGUAAGACACAUUUGUUCUCAGAUAUACUGCACCCGCUGGGCCUCAUUUAUCAAAAGUGCAUGCAGCAGAGAAACAGUUGCAGCAUAAUUUUUAAACAAAUGUUGAGAUUUGCCACUUUGAAUGUGAGCGUAGGGCACACCCAGAUAAAACCCACUGCAGGUUGCGCAUUGUGAAUGUAAGGCUGUGGAUUUAUGCGUUUAUGAGAAAAUCUAUGUUUUACACUUCUGGAUUUCAGGUGAUUUGUUUGUUGUAGUUUACAUUUUUUUAUUGACUUUUUCUAUCAAAUUACUUUGAAGUUUAGAAAAGAAGAUUGUAUGAGUGGUCCAUCUGCUCUGCAAAUUUGUGUCGGUGUUGUUGCCUAAAUAUUGUAGGACAUUUAAGAAUGACAUAUUAAAACCUUUGUGAAUAAAAUCGGUUGUGUUUCGAAUUGGAAACGUUUUUAUAGCAGUGAUUUGACAUCAGAAUUUCUCAGGAAGAUGUACCUUAAACAAUGUUACUGUAUAAAUCUGAACCUGCUGAGUAAUUAAUUGCUGACUGUUUGCACAAAACAGAUAAUGAACAAUAAACAGGAGAUACUUAAAACAUCCUAUGUCAUUCGUGGGCACAUGAGGCAAAGGCUUACUAGAGCAAAGUGAUCAGAGGCUAUAAAAUUGAUUUAUGGUUUGAAAGUUUAUGCCAAACGCUAGUAAUGCAUUCAAGGUGGAGAAUUUCCUGCUUUAGAGACGUGAGCCUCACCAGAACUGUGUGGUUUGGACAGGAUGCACAUUUUCAUACAUGGAUGUCAGUGGAAAGCAACUCGAAAGGACACUAAUGGGGAGAUAACCUUGUGCACAUCUGCACAAUAUUGCACUGGAUUGUUGGGUGUAAAACUAAUGCUCUGCAGUGCGAUGAACUAAUAUUGACCUGUGUUGAUGCUGCACAAUAUAUGGGACAGCAAUCUUCUUUGCAUUAUUUAGUGUCUGCAAACUGACGGUCACAAAGGACAGUUUGGAUUACAUAUUCAGAAGGUUACUAUAAUUCAGGCCUAAUGCAUUCAAAUCAUGAUAGUCCAUCAAACAUUUGGCCAGCUAGAUGAUGCAUCACUUCCUUAAAUGCCCAAUUUUUAUGUAGCUCUUACUGAUAUAUUGAGGAAAUCAUGAGGAUGAAAAAGAGAAAAAUGUGACUUAAUCAGUAUUGUCAUCACAACAUUGAAGAAUAAUAUUUCAGUAUCAUAUUUUACUAAUAUUGUGCUGCUUUAUUCUGAGGACUGUCAGGACUUCAUCACGCAAUUCCGGCUGAUAAUUGACAACUUGUACAGCUUUGAAAUGUCAUUCGCAGUCAGAUCCCUAAAUAUGUAAAAAAAAAAAAA